AAAUGAGAGGUAAAAUAAGUACAUUUGAAAGGGAAAGCACUGUAUUGAGAACAGAUAUUAUAUACAAAUGAGGCAGGGGAAUAAAAGUAAAUCCUGGGGAGGCAGGCAGUAAAUUAUUUCUUUGACAGCAAAAUGUUGACUUUAAAUUUUGGGCCCCUGGGCACAACUGUAGGGAACCAGUUAAUUAUUUUGGAGUACUGUACUAUUUCAUGACUAUUCUGUGUUCUGGGUGUUAAUGGGCCAGGUGCUAUGGUGUACACUGAAGACUGGGAGGCCCACAUUUAGGGAAGUGAAAACUUAGAGAUGUGGAAUUAGCACACAAGAAAGAUAUCAACACAUUCAGAAAGCUGUAUUCAUGAUUUACAGUGGAGCAUAUUACUGCUGUUGCAAGAAACAAUUCUUCCUCUUUCAUUUUCCUGCAGUUCCAAAUGACCUUCCACCUGUUUAUUGCUGCAUUUGUGGGGGCUGCAGCUACACUGGUUUCCCUGCUCACCUUCAUGAUUGCUGCCACUUACAACUUUGCCGUCCUUAAACUCAUGGGCCG
This 544-nucleotide small RNA is filed under the name Pan troglodytes (chimpanzee). Its description in RNAcentral is "retained intron". Lineage: Eukaryota; Metazoa; Chordata; Mammalia; Primates; Hominidae. The record is from RNAcentral.